This 505-nucleotide ribosomal RNA is filed under the name Carupa tenuipes. Its description in RNAcentral is "partial large subunit ribosomal RNA". It matches the Rfam family "Bacterial large subunit ribosomal RNA", at positions 1824 to 2574 of the family's 2925-position model. The record is from RNAcentral. Lineage: Eukaryota; Metazoa; Arthropoda; Malacostraca; Decapoda; Portunidae.
UGUCUAUUUGAAGUUAUUUAUAGUCUAGCCUGCUCAGUGACAUUAAAGGUGUUAAAUAGCCGCGGUAUCCUGACCGUGCAAAGGUAGCAUAAUCAUUAGUUUUUUAAUUGAGAACUUGUAUGAAGGGUUGGACAAAGAAAAAGCUGUCUCUUUAAUUAAGAUUGAAAUUAACCUCUAAGUGAAAAGGCUUAGAUUGUCUAGAGGGACGAUAAGACCCUAUAAAGCUUUAUAAUGUUAAAAAUUCUAUGUAUUUUAUCUUAUAGAAAUGAGUUUUAAACCAUUUAUUGAGUUGGGGCGACAAAGGUAUAAUUUAAAGUAACUGCCGAUAAAUGUUACAAUUAUGUUUGUAUUAAAUAAUGUAUAGUUGAUCCCUUUUAAGGAUUAGGAGAUCAAGUUACUUUAGGGAUAACAGCGUAAUUUCACCUGAGAGUUCUUAUCAAAGGAGAAGUUUGCGACCUCGAUGUUGAAUUAAAAUGUCUUUAUAGUGCAGCAGCUAUAAAAGAAG